GAUGAACGCUGGCGGCGUGCCUAAUACAUGCAAGUCGAGCGAACGGACGAGAAGCUUGCUUCUCUGAUGUUAGCGGCGGACGGGUGAGUAACACGUGGAUAACCUACCUAUAAGACUGGGAUAACUUCGGGAAACCGGAGCUAAUACCGGAUAAUAUUUUGAACCGCAUGGUUCAAAUGUGAAAGACGGUCUUGCUGUCACUUAUAGAUGGAUCCGCGCUGCAUUAGCUAGUUGGUAAGGUAACGGCUUACCAAGGCAACGAUGCAUAGCCGACCUGAGAGGGUGAUCGGCCAAACUGGAACUGAGACACGGUCCAGACUCCUACGGGAGGCAGCAGUAGGGAAUCUUCCGCAAUGGGCGAAAGCCUGACGGAGCAACGCCGCGUGAGUGAUGAAGGUCUUCGGAUCGUAAAACUCUGUUAUUAGGGAAGAAUAUAUGUGUAAGUAACUGUGCACAUCUUGACGGUACCUAAUCAGAAAGCCACGGCUAACUACGUG
RNAcentral lists this ribosomal RNA (497 nucleotides) under uncultured bacterium. RNAcentral describes it as "partial 16S ribosomal RNA". It matches the Rfam family "Bacterial small subunit ribosomal RNA", at positions 28 to 507 of the family's 1533-position model. The record is from RNAcentral.